UAGAGGUGAUGGAGGUGCUCGCCAUGAGGUCCGUGGCGGUCGUCUGGAGGUGCUCGUCUGGAGGUCCGUGGCGGUCGUCUGGAGGUGCUCACCUGGAGGUCCAUGGCGGUCGUCUGGAGGUGCUCGUCUGGAGGUCCGUGGCGGUCGUCUGGAGGUGCUCGCCGUGGCGGUCGUCUGGAGGUGCUCGUCUGGAGGUCCGUGGCGGUCGUCUGGAGGUGCUCGCCGUGAGGGCCGUGGCGGUCGUCUGGAGGCGCUCGCUGCAGGUGGAGGGAAGGCCGAGAGCCGUGCAGCCCAAGGGAUGCAGAACGAAGGACUGAGGCGGAGGCCAGCCUGGAGGCGGAGGCCAGCCUGGAAGUCCUGGAUGCGUCCAACCUGGAAGGGGCAGCAUGGAGGGGCCAGGUGGCGGCUCCUCAUCCAAAGGGCCCAGAGGCGGCCAACCUGGAAGGCCUGGAGACGGCGGAGGUCCUGGAGGCGGAGGCCAACCUGGAGGUCCUGGAGGCGGUGGGCCUGGAGGCGGCGGCGGCAGCGGCCAUCCUGGAGGCGGACUACCUGGAGGUCCUGGAGGCGGAUUGUGGAGACCAUCCUGGAGGGCCUGGAGGUGGCGUCCACAUGGUGGCGGCCGGCCUGGAGGCGGUGGCCAACCUGGAGGUCCUGGAGGCGGUGGGCCUGGAGGCGGCGGCGGCAGCGGCCAUCCUGGAGGCGGACUACCUGGAGGUCCUGGAGGCGGAUUGUGGAGACCAUCCUGGAGGUCCUGGAGGUGGCGUCCACAUGGUGGUGGCCGGCCUGGAGGCGGUGGCCAACCUGGAAGUCCUGGAGGCGGUGGGCCUGGAGGCGGCGGCAGCGGCCAUCCUGGAGGCGGACUACCUGGAGGUCCUGGAGGCGGAUUGUGGAGACCAUCCUGGAGGGCCCGGCGGCGGCGUCCUGGAGGGCCCGGAGGCGGAGGCUCCUCAUCCAAAGAAAUGAGGCGACGUUGCGGAGGUCCAGGCGGUUGGCCCGGUGGAGGUCCUGGAGGAGACGGCCUGGAGGUGGAGGACGGCUGGGGGAUCCGGCGGUGGAGGUCCGAAGGCAGCUCGUGUUUAGACCAACCAGCUCCUCAUCCAUGGAAGGAUUGAAGGAGUCACUGGGGAUGAAGAUCACUGCUCAGGGGCUGACGACCCCCCCCCCCCCCCUCCUCAUCUUUCUGGAGAAGCGUCCUCAUGGUGCAGGCGGUCAAACCUCCACCUCUUUGAAGAGACCAAGCAGCUUGAUGACUGACUGGUUCCUUAUACUCAGGACCUCGAGCAGAGGAUAGACCUAAGGCCUACAGCGCAGCAGACUAGAGACUCCAUGUGGAACCGGUUCAAUUAAGUUGACCUCUCCUUCAGGCGACUUAAAGGGAGACCAGAUGUGCGGCAGCUGGGUGUCAUGGUGCAGAGACCCAACGCUGGUAAAUAUUUACUUCCUCCUUGAACAGACCUAACACGUCAAACGGCAAUUAUAUAAUCCCUCCUGAUCUUUAUAAAGGUCUGAAGACCAGUCUUUUCUGUGAACAUCUCCACUGAUGAGUGUGCUCUUAAUUAAAUUAAAGUUAAUUAAAUGCAGUAACUCCAAUGCACCUGGAGGCUCGUAUUGACAUUUUUUGAAACCUGGUUCUCCAGCACUAGGACUGUUGCGGUAAAUAAAUGUUUUUUUGCUAAUUUAAGUCUAUGAAAUCAAAUGCUGAUUGAGACCAGAUGGGGCUGUUCCUGCAUUUAUAGACAUUUCAUUGCCCUUGAAACUGAUUCUACUUUUUGCAUCAAUUUACUUCACAGUACUGAACUACACCAGUGUGUCCUACUCCCCAUAAACCCUGAGGAUCCCUGGCUACACCAGCACAUUAAUCCACACCCAACAUUAACACACAGUGCACACUCUAUAGAGCUUGUAAGUCCGCCCCUUGCGGCGGGACCUCGUGAGAUCGUAAAAUAUGACUGGGUUUCAAUGGAGAGAAAGUAAAUAUUUUCUCCAUUAUGUUGCACCACAUUUUGGGGGAAGAAUGUUUGAAUCAAUCUUUGUCAUUUAUUUCUGUACUCCAUAUCUGUAAUCCCAGCUGUUGUAUUUUAACACGGUAGCUGGGAACCCUCUUUAUAGGGAGCGACUAGAGGGACGAGGCUGGAAGCAAACCUGAGCCUGGAUCUUAACCUUCUUUCUAAACCUAAUGCCGCAAUUUAACCUCAAAUAAAGUGAGGCCUAAAGUAACUUGACUCUCUUGCCUAAACUCGCUUGCAUAAAACCUGAACUUGCUUGGCUAAACUCGCUUGCCUAAUACCUGAACUUGCUUGCCUAAACUCGCUUGCCUAAUACCUGAACUCGCUUGCCCAAUACCUGAACUUGCUUGCGUAAACUCGCUUGCCUAAUACCUAAACUCGCUUGCCUAAACUCGCUUGCCUAAACUCGCUUGCCUAAACUCGCUUGCCUAAACUCGCUUGCCUAAUACCUGAACUUGCUUGCCUAAACUCGCUUGCCUAAUACCUAAACUCGCUUGCCUAAACUCGCUUGCCUAAUACCUGAACUUGCUUGCCUAAACUCGCUUGCCUAAUACCUGAACUCGCUUGCCUAAUACCUGAACUUGCUUGCGUAAACUCGCUUGCCUAAUACCUAUUACUCGCUUGCCUAAUACCUGAACUCGCUUGCCUAAACUCGCUUGCCUAAUACCUGAACUUGCUUGCAUAAAACCUAACGUGCUUAGCUUGACUCGCUUGCCUGUACUCGCUUGGCUAAACUCGCUUGCCUAAUACCUGUAGUCCCUUGCCUAAAACCUAAACUUGCUUGUCCAAACACGUUACACAAAGUUAACCAUCCAUAAUCUUUAACCCAAACCAGACUUGUCCCUGGGUCGCUCCACUUUAAUUAAGAAGUUUCUUCUUUUACCUCAUCUGCGUUUUGAGUUUCAUUCUUUGAGGGCUUGAAGUGCUUUGGAGGAUAUUUGAACCUUUGUUCGCCAAAUGUUCAGUGUCCUUGAAUGUAAUGUCUAUGGUCUGACGAUAAUCUGACCUCUUCAUGAAGCAGAAUGUGUGUGAAUGUUGUCCCGUGAGCUCCAGGCUCUCUGUGGGCCUGUCAACGUCUCUUUAGCAAAAGGUUGGAGAGUGAAAUUCAUUUUUGUGCCAUUUUCAUGUGUUCCUGAGUAUUUCAGACCUGUGGUGUUUCACAUGAGACCUUAAUGGGAACAUUUCUUUUUCUGCCUGCAUACGUAAUGCCUACAUUAGUAGGGUGAUCACUGUUGAUCCCAAUAUUGUUCAUUAACCACCUCAUUCUUGUAUGAUUUUUUUCGAUAAGGAUUACAAAUCAUGUAAUUUGAGCAUAUUUGCAAAUGGCUCCAAAUAUCAGAUUGUGUAAACGAAUGAAAUGUAACCUGCUUGAUUUAAAGAAAAUAAAACAUCCAAAUAUUAUAAACCUGUUUUGUGUUGCUCUCUUACAUGUGGAAAUAAAACGCAGAUAGAUAUGUUUAGCUCUGAUUUGCUGCCUCCUUUUGGUGUGGUGCUGGGAUUUGUUUAAUAUACUAUUAUCAUUGCCAGGAUAAGUUAAUAACCUAGUAUAGCCUACCCGGAAAAGAAGGGAUAUGAUGGCCAGGGCAGGCUGUUUCGGUGUCCUGUUAACAUAUUGUGAGCGGAUUUGUGAACAUUCUCGGUGAAGGAAAUUCAAUUGCAAACGUUAAUCAACAUGCAGGACCAUUCAGCGAACACUUCACAUAUUUCUC
Gadus morhua (Atlantic cod) is the source of this 3715-nucleotide long non-coding RNA. NCBI's taxonomy places the organism in Eukaryota, Metazoa, Chordata, Actinopteri, Gadiformes, Gadidae. The record is from Ensembl.